GACAGAGGUGGCGAGCGUUGUUCGGAAUUACUGGGCUUAAAGGGCGAGUAGGCGGUGGAGUAAGUCUGAGGUGGAAUCCUAUGGCUUAACCAUAGAACUGCCUUAGAAACUGUUUUACUUGAGUCAGUGAGGGGAGGGCGGAAUUCCUGGUGUAGCGGUGAAAUGCGUAGAUAUCAGGAGGAAGGCCUGUGGCGAAGGCGGCCCUCUGGCACUGAACUGACGCUGAGGCGCGAAAGCGUGGGUAGCAAACAGG
RNAcentral lists this ribosomal RNA (253 nucleotides) under uncultured bacterium. RNAcentral's name for it is "partial 16S ribosomal RNA". It matches the Rfam family "Bacterial small subunit ribosomal RNA", at positions 524 to 776 of the family's 1533-position model. The record is from RNAcentral.